Molecule: ribosomal RNA, 254 nt
Filed under: uncultured bacterium
Lineage: Bacteria
Description: partial 16S ribosomal RNA
Rfam family: Bacterial small subunit ribosomal RNA
Source: RNAcentral
UACGGAGGGGGCAAGCGUUGUUCGGAAUUACUGGGCGUAAAGGGCGCGUAGGCGGCCUUGCAAGUUGGGCGUGAAAGCCCUGGGCUUAACCCAGGAAUUGCGCUUGAGACUGCAUGGGCUUGAGUGCGGGAGAGGUGAGUGGAAUUCCCAGUGUAGAGGUGAAAUUCGUAGAAAUUGGGAAGAACACCAGUGGCGAAGGCGGCUCACUGGCCCGCAACUGACGCUGAGGCGCGAAAGCGUGGGGAGCAAACAGG